AGUUAAGCAUAAGUAUGUGCCAUGCAAUAUUUGGAACAUACUUAUAUUAAAA
This 52-nucleotide microRNA precursor is filed under the name Pteropus alecto (black flying fox). RNAcentral describes it as "mir-1302 microRNA precursor family". It matches the Rfam family "mir-1302 microRNA precursor family". The record is from Rfam by way of RNAcentral. Lineage: Eukaryota; Metazoa; Chordata; Mammalia; Chiroptera; Pteropodidae.